Cynara cardunculus var. scolymus (artichoke) is the source of this 520-nucleotide long non-coding RNA. RefSeq lists it as uncharacterized. NCBI's taxonomy places the organism in Eukaryota, Viridiplantae, Streptophyta, Magnoliopsida, Asterales, Asteraceae. The record is from RefSeq and is a predicted model, not a curated record. The transcript has 2 exons.
UUGCUCCUUUGGUCAUGUGGAGUCUUUGCCAAACUUUGAAUGUAUUGGCUUAUUUGCUAUUCAUCUGUUGAUAUGGUGGUUUCUGCUGCUGUUUUGACCUGGGGAAUGGAUGCUUACACUGCUUCUAAGAGUCUACUCUCAUCCGGCUACCUCCGCUGCCACCAUCGCUGCAGCGGCCACUGCGCCACCGAAGCAAAUAUCUACUGUUACGGACAUUCUCAUGCAAGUCCACAAGUCGGAAUAGAUAGUUACUCAUGGGAAGAGCUUGCAGUGGGAUGAGAUCGCUGAUCGUAUUGGCACAUGUAUGCAAUAAUGCAAAGCCAACUGUUCAAUGGUUUGUGCCAGUUGACGGGUUUAGGAGAUUUGAGCUUCUAAACUCUCAGCUAUCGUUAUUAUGUAAUCGAAAAAUAUCCGGUUUCUUUUUUAGUUGAAGUUCAAAUAUUCUCUAAAUUCACUAUGUCUAACAUGAGCCCACUGUUUAAUUUAGUAAUCAUUGGCCGUUUGGUCAAGAUUUACACAA